CCUACGGGCGACUGCAGUGAGGAAUAUUGGUCAAUGGACGAGAGUCUGAACCAGCCAAGUAGCGUGAAGGAUGACUGCCCUAUGGGUUGUAAACUUCUUUUAUAUGGGAAUAAAAUGUUCCACGUGUGGGAUUUUGUAUGUACCAUAUGAAUAAGGAUCGGCUAACUCCGUGCCAGCAGCCGCGGUAAUACGGAGGAUCCGAGCGUUAUCCGGAUUUAUUGGGUUUAAAGGGAGCGUAGGUGGAUUGUUAAGUCAGUUGUGAAAGUUUGCGGCUCAACCGUAAAAUUGCAGUUGAAACUGGCAGUCUUGAGUACAGUAGAGGUGGGCGGAAUUCGUGGUGUAGCGGUGAAAUGCUUAGAUAUCACGAAGAACUCCGAUUGCGAAGGCAGCUCACUGGACUGCAACUGACACUGAGGCUCGAAAGUGUGGGUAUCGAACAGGAUUAGAUACCCCUGUAGUC
Molecule: ribosomal RNA, 460 nt
Filed under: uncultured bacterium
Lineage: Bacteria
Description: partial 16S ribosomal RNA
Rfam family: Bacterial small subunit ribosomal RNA
Source: RNAcentral